UCUCCUGGAAAACGGGUGGUAAUGCCGGAUGCUCCGACUCCUCGCAUGGGGUGUCGGGAAAGAUUUCAUCGGUAUGGGAUGGGGUCGCGUCCUAUCAGGUAGUCGGCGGGGUAACGGCCCACCGAGCCUACGACGGGUAGCCGGCCUGAGAGGGCGACCGGCCACAUUGGGACUGAGAUACGGCCCAGACUCCUACGGGAGGCAGCAGUGGGGAAUAUUGCACAAUGGGCGCAAGCCUGAUGCAGCGACGCCGCGUGCGGGAUGACGGCCUUCGGGUUGUAAACCGCUUUUGAUCGGGAGCAAGCCUUCGGGUGAGUGUACCUUUCGAAUAAGCACCGGCUAACUACGUGCCAGCAGCCGCGGUAAUACGUAGGGUGCAAGCGUUAUCCGGAAUUAUUGGGCGUAAAGGGCUCGUAGGCGGUUCGUCGCGUCCGGUGUGAAAGUCCAUCGCUUAACGGUGGAUCUGCGCCGGGUACGGGCGGGCUGGAGUGCGGUAGGGGAGACUGGAAUUCCCGGUGUAACGGUGGAAUGUGUAGAUAUCGGGAAGAACACCA
Molecule: ribosomal RNA, 554 nt
Filed under: Bifidobacterium pseudocatenulatum
Lineage: Bacteria; Bacillati; Actinomycetota; Actinomycetes; Bifidobacteriales; Bifidobacteriaceae
Description: bacterial SSU rRNA
Rfam family: Bacterial small subunit ribosomal RNA
Source: RNAcentral